GUCUUUUUGAUUUUUAUAAAAGGUUUAACCUGCCCAAUGAAUAUUAAAUGGCUGCAGUAUUUUAACUGUACAAAGGUAGCAUAAUCAAUAGUUUUUUAAUUAAAAACUGGAAUGAAAGGUUGGACGAAAUAAUUACUGUCUCUUUAUAAAUUUUUUAGAAUUUUAUUUUUAAGUCAAAAAGCUUAAAUUAAUUUAAAAGACGAGAAGACCCUAUAGAGUUUUAUUUUUUUUUAAAAAGUAGAAUUAUUUAAAAUAAUUUAAUUAAUUUUUUAAAUAAAAUUUUAUUGGGGUGAUAAAAAAAUUUAAUAAACUUUUUUUAAAUAUAAACAUAAAUUAAUGAAUUAAUGAUCCAUAAAAAUGAUUAUAAGAGAAAAUUACCUUAGGGAUAACAGCGUAAUUUUUUUUAGAGCUCUAAUCAAAAAAAAAGUUUGCGACCUCGAUGUUGGAUUAAGAUUUAUAUUAGGUGUAGAUGCUUUAAUAUUAGGUCUGUUCGACCUUUAAAAUCUUACA
This 510-nucleotide ribosomal RNA is filed under the name Dorylomimus sp. 2 JP-2017. Its description in RNAcentral is "partial 16S ribosomal RNA". It matches the Rfam family "Bacterial large subunit ribosomal RNA", at positions 1829 to 2600 of the family's 2925-position model. The record is from RNAcentral. Lineage: Eukaryota; Metazoa; Arthropoda; Insecta; Coleoptera; Staphylinidae.